GCCCCGUUCCCUAUCUGGGCCUGACGAGAAGUUAUAAAACGCGUGAAGGCUCACAGCCGAACGGGGUACAUGA
Molecule: small nucleolar RNA, 73 nt
Filed under: Saccharolobus islandicus HVE10/4
Lineage: Archaea; Thermoproteati; Thermoproteota; Thermoprotei; Sulfolobales; Sulfolobaceae
Also listed under: 1 other name
Description: Sulfolobus islandicus HVE10/4 non-coding RNA
Source: RNAcentral